Molecule: ribosomal RNA, 547 nt
Filed under: uncultured bacterium
Lineage: Bacteria
Description: bacterial SSU rRNA
Rfam family: Bacterial small subunit ribosomal RNA
Source: RNAcentral
UGGGGAAUAUUGCGCAAUGGGGGGAACCCUGACGCAGCCAUGCCGCGUGAAUGAAGAAGGCCUUCGGGUUGUAAAGUUCUUUCGGUAUUGAGGAAGGUUGAUGUGUUAAUAGCACAUCAAAUUGACGUUAAAUACAGAAGAAGCACCGGCUAACUCCGUGCCAGCAGCCGCGGUAAUACGGAGGGUGCGAGCGUUAAUCGGAAUAACUGGGCGUAAAGGGCACGCAGGCGGUUAUUUAAGUGAGGUGUGAAAGCCCUGGGCUUAACCUAGGAAUUGCAUUUCAGACUGGGUAACUAGAGUACUUUAGGGAGGGGUAGAAUUCUACGUGUAGCGGUGAAAUGCGUAGAGAUGUGGAGGAAUACCGAAGGCGAAGGCAGCCCCUUGGGAAUGUACUGACGCUCAUGUGCGAAAGCGUGGGGAGCAAACAGGAUUAGAUACCCUGGUAGUCCACGCUGUAAACGCUGUCGAUUUGGGGGUUGGGGUUUAACUCUGGCGCCCGUAGCUAACGUGAUAAAUCGACCGCCUGGGGAGUACGGCCGCAAGGUUA